Molecule: ribosomal RNA, 497 nt
Filed under: uncultured bacterium
Lineage: Bacteria
Description: partial 16S ribosomal RNA
Rfam family: Bacterial small subunit ribosomal RNA
Source: RNAcentral
GAUGAACGCUGGCGGCGUGCCUAAUACAUGCAAGUCGAGCGAACAGACGAGGAGCUUGCUCCUCUGACGUUAGCGGCGGACGGGUGAGUAACACGUGGAUAACCUACCUAUAAGACUGGGAUAACUUCGGGAAACCGGAGCUAAUACCGGAUAAUAUAUUGAACCGCAUGGUUCAAUAGUGAAAGACGGUUUUGCUGUCACUUAUAGAUGGAUCCGCGCCGCAUUAGCUAGUUGGUAAGGUAACGGCUUACCAAGGCGACGAUGCGUAGCCGACCUGAGAGGGUGAUCGGCCACACUGGAACUGAGCCACGGUCCAGACUCCUACGGGAGGCAGCAGUAGGGAAUCUUCCGCAAUGGGCGAAAGCCUGACGGAGCAACGCCGCGUGAGUGAUGAAGGUCUUCGGAGCGUAAAACUCUGUUAUUAGGGAAGAACAAAUGUGUAAGUAACUAUGCACGUCUUGACGGUACCUAAUCAGAAAGCCACGGCUAACUACGUG